RNAcentral lists this transfer RNA (72 nucleotides) under Niveomyces insectorum RCEF 264. RNAcentral describes it as "Sporothrix insectorum RCEF 264 tRNA". It matches the Rfam family "tRNA". From Rfam's summary of the family: Transfer RNA (tRNA) molecules are approximately 80 nucleotides in length. Their secondary structure includes four short double-helical elements and three loops (D, anti-codon, and T loops). Lineage: Eukaryota; Fungi; Ascomycota; Sordariomycetes; Hypocreales; Cordycipitaceae. The record is from Rfam by way of RNAcentral.
CCGGGUAGCACAGUGGUAGCUGCGCCUGCCUAGUAAGCAGGAAGGUCCGCGGUUCGAUCCCGCGCGUCUGGG